RNAcentral lists this ribosomal RNA (235 nucleotides) under uncultured bacterium. RNAcentral describes it as "partial 16S ribosomal RNA". It matches the Rfam family "Bacterial small subunit ribosomal RNA", at positions 524 to 758 of the family's 1533-position model. The record is from RNAcentral.
GACAGAGGGUGCAAACGUUGUUCGGAAUUACUGGGCGUAAAGCGCGUGUAGGCGGCUAAGUAAGUCGGGCGUGAAAUCCCACGGCUCAACCGUGGAAGUGCACUCGAAACUGCAUAGCUAGAGUCCUGGAGAGGAAGGUGGAAUGCUUGGUGUAGAGGUGAAAUUCGUAGAUAUCAAGCGGAACACCGGUGGCGAAGGCGGCCUCUGGACAGUGACUGACGCUGAGACGGCGAAA